CGAGCGCGCGCUUGCUCGCGUCGCGCGCGACCCGGCUUCUAACUUUGUAACAACAGCAGAACAAAGCUGAAUAUACACACAGUGAUUAGAUUGUAACGCAAAAAAAAAACGCCAAGUGCGGUGCUUGUCUCUCUUACGUGCGUGCACAUGCGAAUCCGUCGGAAGCUUCGGAGCACGACGACGUACGUUCGACAUUCCGUGACGUCCGUCACGGAGGAUGUGCCGAGAGAGAAAGAACAACGCAUUGACCUGUUGCGCGAUCAAAAGCUUGCUAAUCUAGAGGCUGUCUAGAUUAGCGAAAGCGUAUCAUAAGAUAUCGACAAUGAAACAUCGACCAUGGUCGGAGUGUCUUGUCUUCUUAAAAUUGAGUAAUUCGGAACAUUCGUGUAUGUUUGACCUUUUGACCGGCGGAGGAUUAUAAUGUUGGAGCCGGUUCUGGGAUCGUCACCAACCUGGUGGUUGGCGCUGUACGCCAAUGUUUUGCUACUGCUGUCGCCCUUGGUGCUGCUGAUGCUCGUGUUUCUCCCGGAUUUUCCGAUUUUGCUGCUGCGGAGAAUCUGCUACAUACCGAUCGAAUCGAUCUGACCCAGAUCGAACACCGAUUCUCAUUGAAUGCUAGAUGAUCAUAAAACGAUCGAUGUAACAUUUAUAAGCAUCCAAUUAUGUUAAUAAUAACGUAAUUUACAAUGUAACGUAGUAACAAUGACAAACAUGAAAUGGUUUUACUAAUAUACAUAUUAUUUUAAUUAUUGCGCAAAGAUUUACGUAGUUCGAUUAGAAAAAUAAUAAUUGACAUGCUUUUGCAGCCAGUUUAUCGUUCGUCUUGUACGCACUUGUGUAACAACGAUGACGAAAGCGUAACAGAUGUUAGCGAGAAAUCAUAAAAUCAAUAUUGCGACAAAAAUAUUCGAUAUAGUACGUUUACAGCAUAACGUUAUGUAAAAAAAAAA
Long non-coding RNA from Pseudomyrmex gracilis, 950 nucleotides. RefSeq lists it as uncharacterized. The record is from RefSeq and is a predicted model, not a curated record. Lineage: Eukaryota; Metazoa; Arthropoda; Insecta; Hymenoptera; Formicidae. The transcript has 2 exons.